Molecule: ribosomal RNA, 422 nt
Filed under: uncultured prokaryote
Description: bacterial SSU rRNA
Rfam family: Bacterial small subunit ribosomal RNA
Source: RNAcentral
UAGGGAAUAUUGGUCAAUGGGCGCAAGCCUGAACCAGCCAUCCCGCGUGCAGGAAGACGGCCCUAUGGGUUGUAAACUGCUUUUCCAGGGGGAGAAUUUUUCUGUCGUGACAGGAAUUGACGGUACCCUGGGAAUAAGCAUCGGCUAACUCCGUGCCAGCAGCCGCGGUAAUACGGAGGAUGCGAGCGUUAUCCGGAUUUAUUGGGUUUAAAGGGUGCGUAGGCGGAUAGAUAAGUCAGUGGUGAAAACCUGCAGCUUAACUGUAGACUUGCCGUUGAUACUGUCAGUCUUGAGUACGGUCAAGGUAGGCGGAAUGUGUAAUGUAGCGGUGAAAUGCUUAGAUAUUACACAGAACACCGAUUGCGAAGGCAGCUUACUGGGCCGUAACUGACGCUGAUGCACGAAAACGUGGGGAGCGAACA